RNAcentral lists this ribosomal RNA (467 nucleotides) under uncultured bacterium. RNAcentral describes it as "partial 16S ribosomal RNA". It matches the Rfam family "Bacterial small subunit ribosomal RNA", at positions 28 to 506 of the family's 1533-position model. The record is from RNAcentral.
GACGAACGCUGGCGGCGUGCUUAACACAUGCAAGUCGAACGGAAAGGCCCUGCUUUUGUGGGGUGCUCGAGUGGCGAACGGGUGAGUAACACGUGAGUAACCUGCCCUUGACUUUGGGAUAACUUCAGGAAACUGGGGCUAAUACCGGAUAGGAGCUCCUGCUGCAUGGUGGGGGUUGGAAAGUUUCGGCGGUUGGGGAUGGACUCGCGGCUUAUCAGCUUGUUGGUGGGGUAGUGGCUUACCAAGGCUUUGACGGGUAGCCGGCCUGAGAGGGUGACCGGCCCCAUUGGGACUGGGAUACGGCCCAGACUCCUACGGGAGGCAGCAGUGGGGAAUAUUGCACAAUGGGCGGAAGCCUGAUGCAGCAACGCCGCGUGCGGGAUGACGGCCUUCGGGUUGUAAACCGCUUUCGCCUGUGACGAAGCGUGAGGGACGGUAAUGGGUAAAGAAGCACCGGCUAACUACGU